UUGGAGGGCAAGUCUGGUGCCAGCAGCCGCGGUAAUUCCAGCUCCAAUAGCGUAUAUUAAAGUUGUUGCAGUUAAAAAGCUCGUAGUUGAAUUUCGGGACUAAUAUGUCGGUCGUACUUUGUACGUACUAGCAUUAUUGGUUUCUCCCUUCUGACGAACCACGAUGUCAUUAAUUUGGUGUCGCGGGAAAUCAGACUGUUACUUUGAAAAAAUUAGAGUGUUUAAAGCAAGCUCGCGCUUGAAUACAUUAGCAUGGAAUAAUGAAAUAGGACGUUUGAUUCUAUUUUGUUGGUUUCUAGGAUCGACGUAAUGAUUAAUAGGGAUAGUUGGGGGCAUUAGUAUUCAAUUGUCAGAGGUGAAAUUCUUGGAUUUAUUGAAGACUAACUACUGCGAAAGCAUUUGCCAAGGAUGUUUUCAUUAAUCAAGAACGAAAGUUAGGGGAUCGAAGGCGAUCAGAUACCGUCGUAGUCUUAACCAUAAACUAUGCCGACUAGGGAUCGGAUGAUGUUAAUUUUUUUAAUGACUCAUUCGGCGCCCUUACGGGAAAC
RNAcentral lists this ribosomal RNA (548 nucleotides) under uncultured Glomus. RNAcentral describes it as "SSU rRNA". It matches the Rfam family "Eukaryotic small subunit ribosomal RNA", at positions 548 to 1098 of the family's 1831-position model. The record is from RNAcentral. Lineage: Eukaryota; Fungi; Glomeromycota; Glomeromycetes; Glomerales; Glomeraceae.